This 253-nucleotide ribosomal RNA is filed under the name uncultured bacterium. Its description in RNAcentral is "partial 16S ribosomal RNA". It matches the Rfam family "Bacterial small subunit ribosomal RNA", at positions 524 to 776 of the family's 1533-position model. The record is from RNAcentral.
UACGUAGGGGGCAAGCGUUGUCCGGAUUUACUGGGUGUAAAGGGCGCGUAGGCGGGUUAUUAAGUCAGAUGUGAAAUUACGGGGCUCAACCCCGUGCCUGCAUCUGAAACUGGUGAUCUUGAGUGCAGUAGAGGUAAGUGGAAUUCCUAGUGUAGCAGUGAAAUGCGUAGAUAUUAGGAGGAACACCAGUGGCGAAGGCGGCUUACUGGGCUGUAACUGACGCUGAGGCGCGAAAGCGUGGGGAGCAAACAGG